This is a long non-coding RNA of Coregonus clupeaformis (lake whitefish), 380 nucleotides long. RefSeq lists it as uncharacterized. The record is from RefSeq and is a predicted model, not a curated record. The transcript has 3 exons. NCBI's taxonomy places the organism in Eukaryota, Metazoa, Chordata, Actinopteri, Salmoniformes, Salmonidae.
UCAUCAUGCAUUUCUCAAACUAACUGUGGUGGUGGUGGCAGUAAUAGCAGCAAGAAUGAUUUUCUACGAAAGUGGGAGAAAGAUGAGUAUGAACAACUGGCUCAAAAACGACUCAAUGAGGAGAGGGACAAAAAACAUGGUAAUUGAGUCCAAGCUGGGGAAUACCAUUGUUAUCACCAAGACCACACCACAGGUUGAGAUGGGGGGGUACUACUGCAAUGUGUGUGAUUGUGUCGUGAAGGAUUCCAUCAACAUCUUGGACCCCGUCAAUGGCAAGAAACGAGGAGAAAGAGAAAGAAAGAGAAGCAGAAAGAAAAGAAGCAGAAAGCAGAGGAGGAUCUCUUCCAGGAGAACGAUGAAAUGGCUGAUAUGAUAGGAUU